UACAGAGGGUGCGAGCGUUGUCCGGAAUCACUGGGCGUAAAGGGCGCGUAGGCGGCUCGGCACGUCCGUUGUGAAAUCGCCCGGCUCAACUGGGCGGGGUCGGCGGAUACGGCCGAGCUGGAGCAAGCUAGGGGGUAAUGGAAUUCCCGGUGUAGUGGUGGAAUGCGUAGAUAUCGGGAGGAACACCAGUGGCGAAGGCGGUUACCUGGAGCUUUGCUGACGCUGAUGCGCGAAAGCGUGGGGAGCGAUCCGG
This 253-nucleotide ribosomal RNA is filed under the name uncultured bacterium. Its description in RNAcentral is "partial 16S ribosomal RNA". It matches the Rfam family "Bacterial small subunit ribosomal RNA", at positions 524 to 776 of the family's 1533-position model. The record is from RNAcentral.